CCUACGGGAGGCAGCAGUGAGGAAUAUUGGUCAAUGGACGGAAGCCUGAACCAGCCAAGCCGCGUGCAGGAUGAAGGCCCUGUGAGUCGUAAACCUCUUUUGUACGAGGGCAAAGGCAGGGACGCGUACCCGGCUGAAAGUACCGUACGAAAAAGGAUCGGCUAACUCCGUGCCAGCAGCCGCGGUAAAACGGAGGAUUCGAGCGGUAACCGGGUUUAUUGGGGUUAAAGGGUGCGUAGGCGGUCGGGUAAGUCAGGGGUGAAAUCCCGGGGGUCAACCUCGGAACUGCCGUUGAAACUGGUCGGCUAGAGUGGGAGUGAAGUAGGCGGAAUGCGUGGUGUAGCGGUGAAAUGCAUAGAGAUCAUGCAGAACACCGAUUGCGAAGGCAGCAUACCGG
RNAcentral lists this ribosomal RNA (397 nucleotides) under uncultured bacterium. RNAcentral describes it as "partial 16S ribosomal RNA". It matches the Rfam family "Bacterial small subunit ribosomal RNA", at positions 338 to 732 of the family's 1533-position model. The record is from RNAcentral.